GUCUAUGGCCAUACCACCCUGAACGCGCCCGAUCUCGUCUGAUCUCGGAAGCUAAGCAGGGUCGGGCCUGGUUAGUACUUGGAUGGGAGAUUUAGUGAGAUUCUUAUACAAUAUUUC
Molecule: ribosomal RNA, 117 nt
Organism: Myotis lucifugus (little brown bat)
Lineage: Eukaryota; Metazoa; Chordata; Mammalia; Chiroptera; Vespertilionidae
Source: Ensembl